AUGGGUGUAUACAUUUGUCAAAACUCACAAAAUAUUCAUGUAAAAUGGGUGUAUUUUGAUAUAAAUUAUAGCUUGAUAAAGUUGAUUUUAAAAGAAAAAAAAGUGGGAUAUUUAAAAAUGUCCACUGUAGCCCUUCUCCCAUCGGCCAUGCUGUUGAAUUGUUUAUUACCUCCUAUGUUCCAUCUGGUUUAUGAUCUUUUGGAGAGUUGGGAAGGUGAGGUUUCAUCCCCAUCUUCCCUCUGGAGCUCAGCACAGUGCCUGGAAUGUAGUAUGUGUUCAAUUAAAUGUCUACUGAAGUGAAAAGACUAGGAAGUUAGAGAAGAGUCCUGGAACACCGUGAAGGGUUAUCGAGUCAGAAGACAAUAGAGGUAAAGCAAUAGAGAGGGCAAGCUGAAGAGAGGUCUGUGAAAUGACAGCUGUGGGGAUGAGAGACUGCCAGGAGAUGCAGGAGGCUACAGCUGGGUGAUGAGGCCACCAGGAACCUGGAAGUGAAGAGCUGAAUCUGUGGAUGCAUCUGUGUUGCCCAGAAAUAGAUUGUCAGAACAGUGCUUGAUAAAUAGCAGCUACCAGGUGGCUAAUGAACUGGGUACCUGGGAAAACACACAACCAGUACAUGGGUUUCUAGAAUAUAGAAAUGACUGUUUAUGAGCUGUGGAGCCAAAUAACCUCCAACCAUUUAAUGAUACGGUAUUAGGUUGAGCCAUGUGAAAUGGUCACUAUUAGACUCUGUCCUACAAAAAUGGCAAUUUCAUACAACUCAACCUACAACUUUAUACUUGAGUUUCAAACAUAAUAUCGGUUGAUCCUCAAAUCUUUGCCUUGGCCGGGUGCGGUGGCUCACAUAAAUCCCAGCACUUUGGGAGGCCGAGGCGGUUGGAUUACCUGAGGUCUGGAGUUUGAGACCAGUCUGGCCAACAUGGUGAAACCCCGUCUCUACUAAAACUACAAAAAAUUAGCUGGGCGUGGUGUUGGGUGUCUGUAAUCCCAGCUACUCGGGAGGCUGAGGCAGAAGAAUCUCUUGAACCUGGGAGGCGGAGGUUGCAGUAGGCCAAGAUCUUGCCACUGCACUCCAGCCUGGGUAACAAAGUAAGAUUCCAUCUCAAAAAAA
RNAcentral lists this long non-coding RNA (1108 nucleotides) under Macaca fascicularis (crab-eating macaque). Its description in RNAcentral is "lncRNA (ENSMFAG00000055693.1)". The record is from RNAcentral. Lineage: Eukaryota; Metazoa; Chordata; Mammalia; Primates; Cercopithecidae.